This 92-nucleotide non-coding RNA is filed under the name human gut metagenome. RNAcentral's name for it is "TPP riboswitch (THI element)". The stretch from base 5 to 86 matches the Rfam family "TPP riboswitch aptamer (THI element)", at positions 10 to 89 of the family's 105-position model. Rfam says of the family: Vitamin B(1) in its active form thiamin pyrophosphate (TPP) is an essential coenzyme that is synthesised by coupling of pyrimidine and thiazole moieties in bacteria. The record is from RNAcentral.
UAAGACGGGGAGCUUGCACAGCAGGCUGAGAGGGGACAGGUAGUCUCGACCCGGGAACCUGAUUUGGAUAAUGCCAACGUAGGGAUAGUGAC